CGAAGAUACGACGAAGAACCUUACCUGGACUUGACAUUGAAAGAAUCCUGUAGAGAUACGGGAGUGCCAGUUUACUGGAGCUUGAAAACAGGUGCUGCACGGCUGUCGUCAGCUCGUGUCGUGAGAUGUUGGGUUAAGUCCCGCAACGAGCGCAACCCACGUCGUUAGUUGCUAACAGUUAGGCUGAGAACUCUAACGAGACUGCCUUCGUAAGGAGGAGGAAGGUGUGGACGACGUCAAGUCAUCAUGGCCCUUACGUCCAGGGCUACACACGUGCUACAAUGGGGUAUACAAAGAGCAGCAAUACGGUGACGUGGAGCAAAUCUCAUAAAAUGCCUCCCAGUUCGGAUUGUAGUCUGCAACUCGACUACAUGAAGUUGGAAUCGCUAGUAAUCGUGGAUCAGCAUGUCACGGUGAAUACGUUCCCGGGUCUU
Molecule: ribosomal RNA, 434 nt
Filed under: uncultured Arcobacter sp.
Lineage: Bacteria; Pseudomonadati; Campylobacterota; Epsilonproteobacteria; Campylobacterales; Arcobacteraceae
Description: bacterial SSU rRNA
Rfam family: Bacterial small subunit ribosomal RNA
Source: RNAcentral